Small nucleolar RNA from Nannospalax galili (Upper Galilee mountains blind mole rat), 197 nucleotides. Its record names the gene SNORA74. It matches the Rfam family "Small nucleolar RNA SNORA74". From Rfam's summary of the family: U19 belongs to the H/ACA class of snoRNAs. snoRNAs bind a number of proteins (including dyskerin, Gar1p and Nop10p in the case of the H/ACA class) to form snoRNP complexes. This class are thought to guide the sites of modification of uridines to pseudouridines by forming direct base pairing interactions with substrate RNAs. The record is from Ensembl. Lineage: Eukaryota; Metazoa; Chordata; Mammalia; Rodentia; Spalacidae.
CCCAGCAGUAGUCAGCCAUCCUUGACCUGUUCCUGUGAUGGCGUUACACUACUGGGAGAGUAAGGUCUUGUCUUUACCCCCCUGCCUGGUCACUGUUCUGGUGGCAUGUGGUACUGGUGUGAGGCAAAACUGUGCUUCCUUGAGAGUGUGCUAAGCAUUCACUUUGACUGCUUAGUUCUAGUGUGGGAGCAGACAGU